RNAcentral lists this long non-coding RNA (389 nucleotides) under Olea europaea subsp. europaea. Lineage: Eukaryota; Viridiplantae; Streptophyta; Magnoliopsida; Lamiales; Oleaceae. The record is from RNAcentral.
GCAUCGAAUUAUCCAACCUCAUCACCACACCCAGCUGCUAAGAUAUUUUCUUCUCUCCCCUCUCUUUCUCAACAAGUGUUUACAAAGAAUUGAAAUUUUUAUUAUUGUCUACAUAUAUAGUACUGCAUUAUUCUUCAAGCUUUUACUUCAUCAAAAGGUACGAGUCAAAUCAACAUUUACAUGAAACUCGCAGAAUUUGAUUUGUACAUAAAACAUUCAGGAUCUUGAACCGAUCAAGUGAUUAUUUAUCGGUAAGUAAUCAUUUUCCUUUUUCUGUCACAGAAUUAAUCAUAAACCAUAUCUUUUUAUUUUCUGUAGUUUUGUGUAUUGUAAUCUUUGUUUAUCUUUUCUUGCUUUGAUUAUCGUAAUAUUAUUUACUUGCAUUACAC